RNAcentral lists this ribosomal RNA (249 nucleotides) under uncultured bacterium. RNAcentral describes it as "partial 16S ribosomal RNA". It matches the Rfam family "Bacterial small subunit ribosomal RNA", at positions 524 to 777 of the family's 1533-position model. The record is from RNAcentral.
UACGGGAGGGGCUAGCGUUAUUCAUCAUAAGCGGGCGUAAAGGGUGAGUAGACGAUGACUAUUGGCUAAACUUAAAAAACAAACAUUUAUUUGUUUCAGUUUACCCAACAAUCAAUUAGCGAUUAAAGGAGUAGAUAGAAUUACUAAUGUAAAGGUAAAAUAUGAUGAAUAUUAGUACGUAUGCCAACGGCGAAGGCAGUCUACGAUGUAGUCGGACGUGAGGUGCGAAAGCAUGGGAAUCAAAACGGG